Molecule: ribosomal RNA, 433 nt
Filed under: uncultured bacterium
Lineage: Bacteria
Description: partial 16S ribosomal RNA
Rfam family: Bacterial small subunit ribosomal RNA
Source: RNAcentral
AGCGAACGCUGGCGGCAGGCCUAACACAUGCAAGUCGAACGAACUCUUCGGAGUUAGUGGCGGACGGGUGAGUAACACGUGGGAACGUGCCUUUUGGUUCGGAAUAACUCAGGGAAACUUGUGCUAAUACCGAAUGUGCCCUUCGGGGGAAAGAUUUAUCGCCAUUAGAGCGGCCCGCGUCUGAUUAGCUAGUUGGUGAGGUAACGGCUCACCAAGGCGACGAUCGGUAGCUGGUCUGAGAGGAUGACCAGCCACACUGGGACUGAGACACGGCCCAGACUCCUACGGGAGGCAGCAGUGGGGAAUCUUGCGCAAUGGGCGAAAGCCUGACGCAGCCAUGCCGCGUGAAUGAUGAAGGUCUUAGGAUUGUAAAAUUCUUUAACCGGGGACGAUAAUGACGGUACCCGGAGAAGAAGCCCCGGCUAACUUCGUG